GAUGAACGCUAGCGGGAGGCCUAAUACAUGCAAGUCGAGCGGUAGAGUGACUUCGGUUGCUUGAGAGCGGCGAACGGGUGAGUAACGCGUACACAAUCUACCUUUAAGAGGGGAAUAGCCCUGGGAAACUGGGAUUAAUGCCCCAUGGCAUCACGAAGUGGCAUCGCUUUGUGAUUAAAGCUGAGGUGCUUAGAGAUGAGUGUGCGUCUGAUUAGCUAGUUGGUGCGGUAACGGCGCACCAAGGCGACGAUCAGUAGGGGGCGUGAGAGCGUGGACCCCCACACGGGUACUGAGACACGGACCCGACUCCUACGGGAGGCAGCAGUAAGGAAUAUUGGUCAAUGGGCGCAAGCCUGAUCCAGCCAUCCCGCGUGCAGGAUGACAGCCCUACGGGUUGUAAACUGCUUUGUUAGGGAAGAAACCCCUACGAUUUAUCGGGGGCGUGACGGUACCUUUCGUAAUAAGCACCGGCUAACU
Molecule: ribosomal RNA, 477 nt
Filed under: uncultured bacterium
Lineage: Bacteria
Description: bacterial SSU rRNA
Rfam family: Bacterial small subunit ribosomal RNA
Source: RNAcentral